Molecule: non-coding RNA, 75 nt
Organism: Haemonchus contortus (barber pole worm)
Lineage: Eukaryota; Metazoa; Nematoda; Chromadorea; Rhabditida; Trichostrongylidae
Source: Rfam
GGCCCAAAUUUGAAGUAGAAUGGUUUAGUAGGGUCGGAUGAUCCUGCUAAUCUACUCUACUUCAAGCUCGCGCCC